AUGGACGCAAGUCUGACCGAGCAACGCCGCGUGAGUGAAGACGGUUUUCGGAUCGUAAAGCUCUGUUGUAGGGGAAGAACGUGUGUAAGAGUGGAAAGCUUACACAGUGACGGUACCCUACCAGAAAGGGACGGCUAACUACGUGCCAGCAGCCGCGGUAAUACGUAGGUCCCGAGCGUUGUCCGGAUUUAUUGGGCGUAAAGGGAGCGCAGGCGGUUUAGUAAGUCUGAAGUUAAAGGCAUUGGCUCAACCAAUGUAUGCUUUGGAAACUGUUAGACUUGAGUGCAGAAGGGGAGAGUGGAAUUCCAUGUGUAGCGGUGAAAUGCGUAGAUAUAUGGAGGAACACCGGUGGCGAAAGCGGCUCUCUGGUCUGUCACUGACGCUGAGGCUCGAAAGCGUGGGUAGCGAACAGGAUUAGAUACCCUGGUAGUCCACGCCGUAAACGCUGAGUGCUAGGUGUUAGGUCCUUUCCGGGACUUAGUGCCGACGCUAACGCAUUAAGCACUCCGCCUGGGGAGUACGACCGCAAGGUUGAAACUCAAAGGAAUUGACGGGGGCCCGCACAAGCGGUGGAGCAUGUGGUUUAAUUCGAAGCAACGCGAAGAACCUUACCAGGUCUUGACAUCCCGAUGCCCGCUCUAGAGAUAGAG
This 650-nucleotide ribosomal RNA is filed under the name Streptococcus sobrinus. Its description in RNAcentral is "bacterial SSU rRNA". It matches the Rfam family "Bacterial small subunit ribosomal RNA", at positions 371 to 1011 of the family's 1533-position model. Lineage: Bacteria; Bacillati; Bacillota; Bacilli; Lactobacillales; Streptococcaceae. The record is from RNAcentral.